This is a long non-coding RNA of Triticum aestivum (bread wheat), 1564 nucleotides long. RefSeq lists it as uncharacterized. Lineage: Eukaryota; Viridiplantae; Streptophyta; Magnoliopsida; Poales; Poaceae. The record is from RefSeq and is a predicted model, not a curated record. The transcript has 2 exons.
UCGCAGGCCUCCUCGGGUUACCUUUGCCUAAAUCACCAUUUUCAUCAGAAACUUAAUUUGGAUCCAUCUCUUCUCUUCUCCCGUCGCCUCCGAACCCUAGCUAGCUACCUCGGUCCAGUCCGGCUGCGAGAGGCCACCGGCGGCAUGGCUGCGUGCGGCGGCGGAGCAUAGCACGCGAUGCGACCGCUCUAAUCGGAUCCAAUCGAAUCCCGCCGCACCGCCCGCCCCGCUCGCCGUGGCCGAUGACCGCGUCCCUCCCCAAACGGCGGCGAUGAUGGAGGGAGCCGCCGGCGCCGGCCGGGCUCCCGACCGGCCGACGCGCCGGGUCGCCGCUCCUCGGGCCCAGCCCCUCCCGCCGCGCCGUCACGCAUCGGCUCGGGGGCCCCCCUCGGGGAUGCCGCCUGUGCGGGAGGCGUCCGCAGCGGCGCGGGCUGGGGACCGGGCGGCGGGGCCCGUGGUGCGCUCCGGUCGAGGGCUUGGUCGGGCCUGGCGCGGGAUCUGAGCCGCCGUCGAUGGAUUUUUGGCCAGCUUGGCUGCAUCUUGCUUUCGAUUCGGCGAGCUCUCGUUGCCGGAUCGCUGACCCAUCGUCCCGGUGGCCGCUGCCUCAGUUCCACACCGCUACGGAGCCGCUAGCCACCGCCGUUCCAUUGCCUUGGAUUCGGUUGUGGCGUGGGCUGGAACCGUGCUCUGUUGUCUGAUGCGUCGUUCAAGCGGGAGGUUUGGUCGGCCGAGGCCAGGUAUGAGCAGCUCCUGAGCAGGAUGGAUGGAUGCAUUCAUGUGUCGUGAACUAAAACCACGACUCCUAUUUUGGAACGGAGGGAGUACAUUUUGGAACGGAGGGAGUAUGUAUGUAUGGAUAUCAUUGUCAUGUUGCUUGGUGUGGGGGUUGAACCUCCUUUUUUGGAAAAAAAAAGAGGAGCAAUGAUGAUGGUGAUGACGACGAUGGCUGAAAUAAUCAUGUCUUGAGCAAUCAAGACAGCCGUGGCGUGGUGGUACUAAACAGAGCUGAACAAAUCGGUGUCCGCGUUGGAGUUGGCCUUAGAGCCCACCCUUGCCUCUCUUGCAGCCUGUCCAAUUCAUUGCUGAUGUUGGUUGCUUUGUGCCUCGGAUGGUCAUUCUGUUGAGUGAUAACCAUGGCAGUUCUCUUACAUCGUGAUGGGUAGAUUAUGCAGCAAGAGAUGGUGAGGGUUUGGGCUUGAAGAUGGAAGACAAAACUGAGCCUCUUUUGCUAUGCUACAUAUACCCCCACCCCUCUACCUCUAACCCUAAGCCAAAUCAGUCGAGCUCUCAUUGCCAACUCGCUGUCCAAUCGUCUGGGUGGUGCCCUCUUCAGUUCACUGCUGCGGUGCUGCCAGCCUCUGCUGUUCCAUUGCCUUGGAUUUGGCUGUGGCGUGGGCUGGGAACCGUACGGUGUAAUCUGGGGCGUCAUCAGGUCUGGUUGGUCGGUCCAGGCCAGGCAUGAGUAGCUCCUGAGGCUGAUGGGGAUGGAUGGAUGGACAUGUGCAUGCAUGUAAAUUCACUCAUUUUGCUCCGUAUGUAGUCCAUAUUGGAAUCUCUAAAAGGA